GAUGAACGCUGGCGGCGUGCCUAAUACAUGCAAGUCGAGCGAACAGACGAGGAGCUUGCUCCUUUGACGUUAGCGGCGGACGGGUGAGUAACACGUGGAUAACCUACCUAUAAGACUGGGAUAACUUCGGGAAACCGGAGCUAAUACCGGAUAACAUGUUGAACCGCAUGGUUCAACAGUGAAAGACGGUCUUGCUGUCACUUAUAGAUGGAUCCGCGCCGCAUUAGCUAGUUGGUAAGGUAACGGCUUACCAAGGCAACGAUGCGUAGCCGACCUGAGAGGGUGAUCGGCCACACUGGAACUGAGACACGGUCCAGACUCCUACGGGAGGCAGCAGUAGGGAAUCUUCCGCAAUGGGCGAAAGCCUGACGGAGCAACGCCGCGUGAGUGAAGAAGGUCUUCGAAUCGUAAAACUCUGUUAUUAGGGAAGAACAAAUGUGUAAGUAACUAUGCACGUCUUGACGGUACCUAAUCAGAAAGCCACGGCUAACUACGUG
This 497-nucleotide ribosomal RNA is filed under the name uncultured bacterium. RNAcentral's name for it is "partial 16S ribosomal RNA". It matches the Rfam family "Bacterial small subunit ribosomal RNA", at positions 28 to 507 of the family's 1533-position model. The record is from RNAcentral.